GGAUAUAGCUCAGCCUGGUAGAGCGCUUGCUUCGGGAGCAAGAGGUCAUGGGUUCGAAUCCCGUUAUCC
This 69-nucleotide transfer RNA is filed under the name human gut metagenome. It matches the Rfam family "tRNA". Rfam says of the family: Transfer RNA (tRNA) molecules are approximately 80 nucleotides in length. Their secondary structure includes four short double-helical elements and three loops (D, anti-codon, and T loops). The record is from RNAcentral. RNAcentral also lists the same sequence under 1 other name.